UUUUGGGUGAUAGUAUUGAACAAAGCACUUUGGAGAAUUUUCAUCGAUUUCUGUGAUUGUUUUUCCUCUCUUCAAAAUACAUAUAUAAAUAUUAUAUAUAUAUAUAUAUAU
Molecule: non-coding RNA, 111 nt
Filed under: Bigelowiella natans
Lineage: Eukaryota; Cercozoa; Chlorarachniophyceae
Source: RNAcentral